UACGUAGGUGGCAAGCGUUGUCCGGAUUUACUGGGCGCAAAGGAUGCGUAGGCGGACAUUUAAGUCAGAUGUGAAAUACCCGAGCUUAACUUGGGUGCUGCAUUUGAAACUGGGUGUCUAGAGUGCAGGAGAGGUAAGUGGAAUUCCUAGUGUAGCGGUGAAAUGCGUAGAGAUUAGGAAGAACACCAGUGGCGAAGGCGACUUACUGGACUGUAACUGACGCUGAGGCAUGAAAGCGUGGGGAGCAAACAGG
Molecule: ribosomal RNA, 253 nt
Filed under: uncultured bacterium
Lineage: Bacteria
Description: partial 16S ribosomal RNA
Rfam family: Bacterial small subunit ribosomal RNA
Source: RNAcentral